UACGUAGGGUGCAAGCGUUGUCCGGAAUUAUUGGGCGUAAAGAGCUCGUAGGCGGUUUGUCGCGUCUGCUGUGAAAAACCCCGAGGCUCAACCUCGGGCCUGCAGUGGGUACGGGCAGACUAGAGUGCGGUAGGGGGAGAUUGGAAUUGCCUGGUGUAGCGGUGGAAUGCGCAGAUAUCAGGAGGAACACCAAUGGCGAAGGCAGAUCUCUGGGCCGUAACUGACGCUGAGGAGCGAAAGCAUGGGGAGCGAACAGG
Molecule: ribosomal RNA, 257 nt
Filed under: uncultured bacterium
Lineage: Bacteria
Description: partial 16S ribosomal RNA
Rfam family: Bacterial small subunit ribosomal RNA
Source: RNAcentral